CUAAAAGGUUAGAGCAAACCAGAUGAGCGGCUGAGAUCUUGCGAGAGCUGUGAGCUGUGCGUAAGUAAAAUGGCGGCAUACAUGUAGUUCAAAAUUAAAUCCACUCAGGGAGCAAACUGGAAGAAGAGACCUUGACGAGCCUGGAGAGCUACCUGGACGAGUGUUUUGACAACAUCGUGAUGGGGAAGAAAAAAAA
Long non-coding RNA from Fundulus heteroclitus (mummichog), 196 nucleotides. RefSeq lists it as uncharacterized. The record is from RefSeq and is a predicted model, not a curated record. The transcript is spliced from 2 exons. Lineage: Eukaryota; Metazoa; Chordata; Actinopteri; Cyprinodontiformes; Fundulidae.